GCCCGCGACACCAAGACCAAAACAUGUUUGUGGCCCGAUUGAAAAAAAGGUUGGGGACCACUGGGCUAAAACAUUCUAACAAAA
This is a long non-coding RNA of Aricia agestis (brown argus), 84 nucleotides long. RefSeq lists it as uncharacterized. The transcript is spliced from 3 exons. The record is from RefSeq and is a predicted model, not a curated record. Lineage: Eukaryota; Metazoa; Arthropoda; Insecta; Lepidoptera; Lycaenidae.